GAGCAGGACGUUUUGGACGCAAAGGUGCGAUAUUCAACUUGCUGUGCAGUGACAGAGACAACAUGCUAAUGUCAAAGAUUGAGAACCAUUUCAACCAUCAAGUGGCUGAGAUUCCCUCAUGGAAUAGUGAAGAAGACUUUGAAAAUGCUCUGAAGAUAGCUGGCUUGCUGUAAGCCGAGUAUGAAUGUUGGUUAUAUUCAUAGACUUCGAGUAGAACUACACUGGCUGGUGAUCACAUUUGUAUCGUUGACAGAGCAGCGCUCCGGGGAGGCUUUUCUUCUUGAUUGCUCUCAUGCUUCACUUACCAUUUCUAGUGUUAUAACUUCUCAAAAACAUGCCUAAUCUCCCCAUGCUAAAUAGAAUUAACACUUUUAAAAGGAACAUGUAAAGAAAAACAAUUAUAUUUUAAACACAACAGUGCAAAUGAUUGAAGAACUUCGCUAUCCAGUGAGCAAAAACAGCAGCCAAAGUGACCUCAAACUCCGGUAGGGCUCAAAGAACCAAUGGCAGAAAUACCAAUCACAACCGGUAACCCGAAUCGUCCCCAACCCCUUAUAAUUUGUUUCUCUUCUACUGUAUUAGUUAUUUGCUUCUUUUACUUACUGCCUUUAUGACUCUAUUAUUUCACUUCCUAUUUAUUUUAUUAAGUUAUUUUGGUGUCUUCUGGAAUCUAGUUGCUCUAAAUUUGUAGUCACG
This 696-nucleotide unclassified non-coding RNA is filed under the name Hevea brasiliensis (rubber tree). Lineage: Eukaryota; Viridiplantae; Streptophyta; Magnoliopsida; Malpighiales; Euphorbiaceae. The record is from RNAcentral.